RNAcentral lists this ribosomal RNA (253 nucleotides) under uncultured bacterium. RNAcentral describes it as "partial 16S ribosomal RNA". It matches the Rfam family "Bacterial small subunit ribosomal RNA", at positions 524 to 776 of the family's 1533-position model. The record is from RNAcentral.
UACAGAGGGGGCAAGCGUUGUUCGGAAUUACUGGGCGUAAAGGGCGCGUAGGCGGCCUUCUAAGUCGAACGUGAAAUCCCUGGGCUCAACCCAGGAACUGCGUCCGAUACUGGAAGGCUUGAAUCCGGGAGAGGGAUGCGGAAUUCCAGGUGUAGCGGUGAAAUGCGUAGAUAUCUGGAGGAACACCGGUGGCGAAGGCGGUUCUCUGGGCCUGUACUGACGCUGAGGAGCGGAAGCGUGGGGAGCGAACAGG